GUUGUUGGAGGCAAAGAGAAGCUUCAGCCCGUCGAAGCUGGAGCUGCACGCAGACGAGGAGAGACAGUGUCUCCAGAGAAGAGUCCCCGAGGACACGACCGACCCCAGCCCGUCUCUGAGGGACGGACACCCGUGUGAACACCCGGAUGAGCAAGGAAACUGGAAAAGAAGACCAAGAAGCAAACCUGAAAGGUCAUCUUUUUGCCUCUCAUCAUCAUCAGUUAAAGGAGCGUGUGGUUUCACCCCGAGUCUGAGGACUCACAGCUCCUGCAUUGAGUCUGAGUGGACAGAUGAAAAUGACAACAUCCUUCACGGUUCCUGGGAUGUGUGUGUGACACAGCAGCAGACUGAAGACCGUGAUCUCAGCGCUGAGCUCACUCAG
Molecule: long non-coding RNA, 382 nt
Organism: Carassius gibelio (silver crucian carp)
Lineage: Eukaryota; Metazoa; Chordata; Actinopteri; Cypriniformes; Cyprinidae
Exons: 3
Source: RefSeq, a predicted model, not a curated record